Molecule: non-coding RNA, 451 nt
Organism: Epinephelus moara (kelp grouper)
Lineage: Eukaryota; Metazoa; Chordata; Actinopteri; Perciformes; Serranidae
Source: the annotation of a RefSeq genome assembly
GUUACUCAACACUGCAGAUAUGACGCCUGUGUUCAUCUCAGUGUUGCUGGCUGCUGUGAGCCUUGAAUGCAGAGCACAAAAAGACAACGUGCUGCAACCAAAAGGAGACGUGACUGCUGCUGAAGGAGAGGCACUAACACUUGGCUGUCAAUAUAACAGCUCUUCAUUAAGUGUAAGUCUCUUCUGGUACAAACAGGAUGGAAACAACAGCCCCAAAUUCAUCCUGAGCCGCUUUAAAGGGGACGAUGGGAACACACCAGACGAGUCCAGAGAGAGAUUUUCAUCCACACUGAAUUCCACCUUCAGAUUAGUUCCUCUGAAGAUCCAGAAGCUUCAGCUGUCUGACUCUGCUGUGUACUACUGUGCUCUGCAGCCCACAGUGACAGGAAACACCAAAACUCUGUACAAAAACCUUCUGAACAAAGACAACACAAUACUCCACAACAUCUAG